UACGUAGGGACCAAGCGUUGUUCGGAUUUACUGGGCGUAAAGGGCGCGUAGGCGGUGCGGUAAGUCACUUGUGAAAUCUCUGAGCUUAACUCAGAACGGCCAAGUGAUACUGCAGUACUAGAGUGCAGAAGGGGCAAUCAGAAUUCUUGGUGUAGCGGUGAAAUGCGUAGAUAUCAAGAGGAAUACCUGAGGUGAAGACGGGUUGCUAGGCUGACACUGACGCUGAGGCGCGAAAGCCAGGGGAGCAAACGGG
This 253-nucleotide ribosomal RNA is filed under the name uncultured bacterium. RNAcentral's name for it is "partial 16S ribosomal RNA". It matches the Rfam family "Bacterial small subunit ribosomal RNA", at positions 524 to 776 of the family's 1533-position model. The record is from RNAcentral.